AUAACAUAGCCUGUAUCUAAUACCUAACACAUUUAGGUGCUUACAAUAAAUAACCUCUUUAAUGGAAUGGUUUUCAAAAAUAUAGUCUAUGGUUCAUAAAUGUUUUCAUCCGGUUCUGGAAAACAUGUGACUGAAUUUUUUAUAGUUAUAAUACAUUAUUUUAAAAUGCACUUUGCUAUCUAAUACCUUUAAAAAAAUCCCACUUUUCUAUUUUUUUUAAAUGAAGGAUACAGCGUAUUUCCACAAUCUGAGCUAAAACCAAAAUGGACAAGGAUAAAUGGAGGGUUUAAGGAAGAGGUUAUCCUUUCUCCUCCUGGGAAUGUUUUCACAGCCCUGAUUGUAAUGUUGGACUUGCUGAGAAGUCUAUGACAGAAGUUCACAGAUCUCCCUCCUCCCACCCCUCUGUUUUCUCUAAUUCACUUAUUUUGUAAUCCUACAGAUCUUGAGCAACACUUUCUGGGAUGCUUACAGAUAUCACUACAGUGAAUUCAUAUAUUGAAAAAUAUGUAAACCUCCUUACAAAACUGGUACACCAUAAAUAUGAUAAAACGCUAUUUUUUGUUUUAAAAUGUACUUUUAAAUUUUAAUUGUGUUCAUGGGAGGGGCAUUUGCACAUGAGUGAAACUGCCCCAGAAGCCAACACUAGGGAUUGGAUCUACUGGCCCUGGAGUUCUAGGUGGCUGUGAGCCGCUGGCUGAGCAUAGGUGCUCUCUGAACUGAGCUCAGGCCCUCAGCAAGAGCUCCAUUCACACUUAACCAGUUGAGCCACCUCUCCCACCUCAGCUUGCAUGGAUCUCUCACCAGCAGACCCCCUGUGUUGCCUUUUUUUUCUGUAGUUGAAGAAACGUAAUUAUAAUGUUAAUUUCAUAUGCACAAAAUAAAUCUACAGUGGUCUAUGUCAUUAUAAAAUACCUAUGAAAGGACAUUUUUCAAGCUGUUCUUUUAGAUCAUGAGGAAUUCAGUGUCUUCCUCUGUUCCAGAGCAUCGAUGGGGUCUGUGAAUCUGGAAUUCUUUUCUCUGUCUUUCUUUGGGGUUCAGCCAAUGAGAGGCCCUGCUGGGGGAGUGGAGGAAAAUGAAGGAAUUGGAGCAACUGUGUUCCUUUCCAGUUGGCCACAUGUACAGCUGGGCAGUCAUCUCUUUAGACUCAGAAUUCAUCAACACUUUAAACUUCUCCUUCAUUCUUAGCUGCAGCCUUAGGUUAGGGAAGGGCUUGUAAUAACAAAGCACAUGAUAUUUGGGGAAAAAGAAGAAGUGUAGCCAAGAAUUGUAGAGUCUGUUACACAUAUAUGCUUGGUCUACUCUUUGGUUGGUGGCUCACUCCCCGAGAGCUCCCAGGGAUCCUGGUCUCUGGCGCUGCUUCCUACCGUAAGUCAGAAAUGAAUUUUUUAAAAUAAGCACUUGUACUUUGAACCAUAAAACAAAAUCUGAGGCAGAAAUCAGAAGGAAGAAGCCGUGUCCGCUGACUAGGCAAGACAUGUGACAGAACUCAGACGGAAGGGACAAAGGACACACUGCUUGGUGCGAACAGUUGGUUCACACGAAGGCACAGAUGCCAUGACAGGUGAAGACUGAAGGCUAUUCACAGAAUUAGUCCACCACAGAGAAGAGGAAGGAGAUGGAUGUUAACCAUUGCUUCGUGGUGUCAUUGAUGCUUCCAGUCAUCUGUGUGAAACCCAGAUUCAUUAGCUUCCUCCUAGGGGUAGCUAUUCUCUCAGAAACAACAAUUCUAGUCUGACAAAAGAGGGGAAAAAAAGGAUGUUAUGGUAAAUGGAAACUCUGUUGUUUGAAAACAGCUCCGGUGUCUAGUGAAAAUUCAGGACAGACCUAGAUCCAGGGUUUGUCAGGUCCUCUAAAAUUCUUAAUAAAGUGCUUAGGACUA
Rattus norvegicus (Norway rat) is the source of this 1879-nucleotide non-coding RNA. The record is from RefSeq and is a predicted model, not a curated record. NCBI's taxonomy places the organism in Eukaryota, Metazoa, Chordata, Mammalia, Rodentia, Muridae.